This 700-nucleotide ribosomal RNA is filed under the name uncultured bacterium. RNAcentral's name for it is "bacterial SSU rRNA". It matches the Rfam family "Bacterial small subunit ribosomal RNA", at positions 94 to 828 of the family's 1533-position model. The record is from RNAcentral.
AGUGGCGGACGGGUGAGUAACGCGUAAGAAUCUAACUUCAGGACGGGGACAACAGUUGGAAACGACUGCUAAUACCCGAUGUGCCGCGAGGUGAAACCUAAUUGGCCUGAAGAAGAGCUUGCGUCUGAUUAGCUAGUUGGUGGGGUAAAGGCCUACCAAGGCGACGAUCAGUAGCUGGUCUGAGAGGAUGAGCAGCCACACUGGGACUGAGACACGGCCCAGACUCCUACGGGAGGCAGCAGUGGGGAAUUUUCCGCAAUGGGCGAAAGCCUGACGGAGCAACGCCGCGUGAGGGAGGAAGGUCUUUGGAUUGUAAACCUCUUUUCUCAAGGAAGAAGUUCUGACGGUACUUGAGGAAUCAGCCUCGGCUAACUCCGUGCCAGCAGCCGCGGUAAUACGGGGGAGGCAAGCGUUAUCCGGAAUUAUUGGGCGUAAAGCGUCCGCAGGUGGUCAGCCAAGUCUGCUGUCAAAUCAGGUUGCUUAACGACCUAAAGGCGGUGGAAACUGGCAGACUAGAGAGCAGUAGGGGUAGCAGGAAUUCCCAGUGUAGCGGUGAAAUGCGUAGAGAUUGGGAAGAACAUCGGUGGCGAAAGCGUGCUACUGGGCUGUAUCUGACACUCAGGGACGAAAGCUAGGGGAGCGAAAGGGAUUAGAUACCCCUGUAGUCCUAGCCGUAAACGAUGGAUACUAGGCGUGGCUU